CAUGUAGGUAUAUGACCUAUAUGGAUAGUGAGUAAUAAUAUUCACUGCUCUGCCAUUGGGACUGAAGGCUUUGGAAGUGGCUGGGUUCUUAAGAGACUUCUCGUCCACUGAGCCAUCCAUCUUUAAGUGUAAUAGUGUAAAUAGACUUCUCUGAUCUGGCCAACUUCUUUAAAAAGCUCCAGAGGAGAAAUCUUUGGCCCUGUAGUUACCAACACUUGUUGCUGUCAGUGUGUGGAGAAGCAAAGGGUGAACUAUAAAUAAGAAGACCAUGAUAAGGCUGAGAACGACGCUUUUUUGGGGUCUUGUUUUUUUUCUGGUUCAUGUUAGAGGUCAAGAUGAUUUUGAUUUAGCUGAUGCUCUUGAUCAUCCAGAGGAAACAAUUACUAAGAAGCCAGCACCAGUUACCAAAAGGCCAGUGAUUGGUGAGUAAGAAAUUUAAAUUGGCUAAA
Non-coding RNA from Pelodiscus sinensis (Chinese soft-shelled turtle), 449 nucleotides. The record is from RefSeq and is a predicted model, not a curated record. Lineage: Eukaryota; Metazoa; Chordata; Testudines; Trionychidae.